ACGAACGCUGGCGGCGUGCUUAACACAUGCAAGUCGAACGGAAAGGCCCUGCUUUUGUGGGGUGCUCGAGUGGCGAACGGGUGAGUAACACGUGAGUAACCUGCCCUUGACUUUGGGAUAACUUCAGGAAACUGGGGCUAAUACCGGAUAGGAGCUCCUGCUGCAUGGUGGGGGUUGGAAAGUUUCGGCGGUUGGGGAUGGACUCGCGGCUUAUCAGCUUGUUGGUGGGGUAGUGGCUUACCAAGGCUUUGACGGGUAGCCGGCCUGAGAGGGUGACCGGCCACAUUGGGACUGAGAAACGGCCCAGACUCCUACGGGAGGCAGCAGUGGGGAAUAUUGCACAAUGGGCGGAAGCCUGAUGCAGCAACGCCGCGUGCGGGAUGACGGCCUUCGGGUUGUAAACCGCUUUCGCCUGUGACGAAGCGUGAGUGACGGUAAUGGGUAAAGAAGCACCGGCUAACUACGUG
RNAcentral lists this ribosomal RNA (467 nucleotides) under uncultured bacterium. RNAcentral describes it as "partial 16S ribosomal RNA". It matches the Rfam family "Bacterial small subunit ribosomal RNA", at positions 29 to 507 of the family's 1533-position model. The record is from RNAcentral.